UUACGGCCACAUCACGUUGAAAACACCGAUUCCCGUAAGAUCACAAACGUUAAGCAAUAUCGAGCCUGGUUAGUACUUAGAUGGGUGACCGCUUGGUAAUACCAGGUGCUGUAA
This is a non-coding RNA of Acanthosepion pharaonis, 114 nucleotides long. The record is from the annotation of a GenBank genome assembly. NCBI's taxonomy places the organism in Eukaryota, Metazoa, Mollusca, Cephalopoda, Sepiida, Sepiidae.